Molecule: ribosomal RNA, 325 nt
Filed under: uncultured bacterium
Lineage: Bacteria
Description: bacterial SSU rRNA
Rfam family: Bacterial small subunit ribosomal RNA
Source: RNAcentral
AUUGAACGCUGGCGGCAUGCCUUACACAUGCAAGUCGAACGGCAGCACGGGAGCAAUCCUGGUGGCGAGUGGCGAACGGGUGAGUAAUAUAUCGGAACGUGCCCGGUCGUGGGGGAUAACGUAGCGAAAGCUACGCUAAUACCGCAUACGAUCUACGGAUGAAAGCGGGGGAUCGCAAGACCUCGCGCGAUUGGAGCGGCCGAUAUCAGAUUAGGUAGUUGGUGAGGUAAAGGCUCACCAAGCCGACGAUCUGUAGCUGGUCUGAGAGGACGACCAGCCACACUGGGACUGAGACACGGCCCAGACUCCUACGGGAGGCAGCAGU